GGGAGCAGAGGAGGAGGAAGGGGGCUUUGAUCGGCUCACCUCAGAAACCUUCCCGUACGCCUCCACUGCUACCUGGAUGAUAUCCUCAUCCUAUCUCCCUCCAGACGCCAGGCGGAGAGGGACACCAGAGCUACUCUC
This is a non-coding RNA of Pseudonaja textilis, 138 nucleotides long. The record is from RefSeq and is a predicted model, not a curated record. NCBI's taxonomy places the organism in Eukaryota, Metazoa, Chordata, Lepidosauria, Squamata, Elapidae.